GACAGUGAUAGUGUCUAAUAUAUGAAUGUCUGGAUAUUAAAGCUUCAUCUGCCAUUUUCUCUGCAUUUGAGAUGAAGAUGAAAAAAAAGAAAAGAAAA
Long non-coding RNA from Scomber scombrus (Atlantic mackerel), 98 nucleotides. RefSeq lists it as uncharacterized. The transcript has 2 exons. The record is from RefSeq and is a predicted model, not a curated record. Lineage: Eukaryota; Metazoa; Chordata; Actinopteri; Scombriformes; Scombridae.